This 957-nucleotide unclassified non-coding RNA is filed under the name Hevea brasiliensis (rubber tree). Lineage: Eukaryota; Viridiplantae; Streptophyta; Magnoliopsida; Malpighiales; Euphorbiaceae. The record is from RNAcentral.
CAAAAUCUUCUCGCAGUGUUGAUCCUUCAUUACUAAAUUCUAUCCCUCCAUACUCUCCUUCAAACCCUUCCACACCGAUGUGAGUUGACUGGCUAGCUGCAGCAGGUGGCAGGGUAGUCACGUCAAGCCCUGCCAAUGCCUUUGCGACAUCUGAACUCUCAUUAGCCUUGUCCUUCUUAAAACCACCCAUCAAGGACUCUGGCUGAUUAAUCUUAUCACUUGCUGCAAAUGGAUCCUGCUCCACCUCAAUCUCCUCAAUUUUCUCCUCCUCCUUUUCUCCACCCGUAAUCGCCAAUGUGGCUGCCACUUCAUCUCCCGCCUCCAACGUCUCCUGAGGCAACUCAAACAACGCUUUCGAGAAUGUCUCCAAUCCACCUUCUUGUUCCAAUGAAUGUGCCUCCACAUUCACCCAACUAUCACCUCCCCUAAUCUUAUUCUCUGUAUGAACAGCCGAAUGCACCAUCUUUGCUAUACUCUCCCCGUGCAUAGACGCCAACAUAGCCGCCAACCUAAUAUUACUCACCCCUCUCAACACAAUAUCCAACGCCAUAUAAAUCUCCGCGUAUUUCUUAGCUAACUUCUCCGGUGUCACAUCUACACCACGACACGCAGUAACCACCACAGAAACAGCUUGAUUCACAAUACUAAUACACUCAAACACAUUAUUAACAACCAUAUCCUUAUCAUUAUCAUCAGCAGUAGUAAUAGCAAGCACAUAAAUCGAGUUCACAAGACGAUACACAACCCGAUACCUCGAUUCCACCCCAACAAUAACUUGACCCGAAGAAGCAGCAAGUGGGUCAUCACCAAGUGACAUAGUAGGAUCGGAAGGAUAUGACUCAGCGGUAGGUUGUUGUGGUUGUUUGGAAAAUGCAAGACGCGUCUGGCGAAAAGCUGAAAGUGCCAUUAGGGCUCGAGAUGGUGGAAACCAUUCACGGGUUUGGAGUAAGAUAUCAG